Molecule: unclassified non-coding RNA, 257 nt
Filed under: Funneliformis geosporum
Lineage: Eukaryota; Fungi; Glomeromycota; Glomeromycetes; Glomerales; Glomeraceae
Description: partial contains 5.8S ribosomal RNA and internal transcribed spacer 2
Rfam family: 5.8S ribosomal RNA (bases 1-65)
Source: RNAcentral
GUGAAUCAUCGAAUUUUUGAACGCAAAUUGCACUCUCCUCGGAGAGUAUGCCUGUUUGAGGGUCAGCCUAUAAAAAAUCGACAUCGUUGCUGUUUCGCGGUGACGUUCGUCGGAAAUUGGGUCAUCUUAAAUCCUUUUGGUUUUAAGCGACUUAAAAUUUUCUUUUUGGUUCCAUGAACGUUUCUAAGAUUUAUUUCUUUACACGUUUAAGGGUAUCGAUUUUUUUUAACCGUGACAUUAAUAUCGGAUCCCGCCCU